UUAACUCAAAUUUGUAUGAAGCCGGAACGUUUGUCUACGUUUGCCGCUAGGGGCGCUGUUCCAUCUGCAUACAAAUUUAAGUAA
This is a non-coding RNA of Bombyx mori (domestic silkworm), 84 nucleotides long. The record is from Rfam. NCBI's taxonomy places the organism in Eukaryota, Metazoa, Arthropoda, Insecta, Lepidoptera, Bombycidae.